GCGUGCGCAGGCGGUUUGUUAAGACAGAUGUGAAAUCCCCGGGCUUAACCUGGGAACUGCGUUUGUAACUGGCAAGCUAGAGUGUGGCAGAGGGGGGUGGAAUUCCAGGUGUAGCAGUGAAAUGCGUAGAUAUCUGGAGGAACACCGAUGGCGAAGGCAGCCCCCUGGGCUAACACUGACGCUCAGGCACGAAAGCGUGGGGAGCAAACAGGAUUAGAUACCCUGGUAGUCCACGCCCUAAACUAUGUCAACUGGUUGUCGGGGAAGCAAUUCCUUGGUAACGAAGCUAACGCGUGAAGUUGACCGCCUGGGGAGUACGGCCGCAAGGUUAAAACUCAAAGGAAUUGACGGGGACCCGCACAAGCGGUGGAUUAUGUGGAUUAAUUCGAUGCAACGCGAAAAACCUUACCUACCCUUGACAUGCCAGGAAGCUCGCAGAGAUGCGAGUGUGCCCGAAAGGGAACCUGGACACAGGUGCUGCAUGGCUGUCGUCGGCUCGUGUCGUGAGAUGUUGGGUUAAGUCCCGCAACGAGCGCAACCCUUGCCAUUAGUUGCCACAUUAAGUUGGGCACUCUAAUGGGACUGCCGGUGACAAACCGGAGGAAGGUGGGGGAUGACGUCAAGUCCUCAUGGCCCUUAUGGGUAGGGCUUCACACG
RNAcentral lists this ribosomal RNA (657 nucleotides) under uncultured bacterium. Its description in RNAcentral is "bacterial SSU rRNA". It matches the Rfam family "Bacterial small subunit ribosomal RNA", at positions 565 to 1222 of the family's 1533-position model. The record is from RNAcentral.